GAUGAACGCUGGCGGCGUGCUUAACACAUGCAAGUCGAACGAUUAAAGCACCUUCGGGUGUGUAUAAAGUGGCGAACGGGUGAGUAACACGUGACCAACCUACCUCUUACUUUGGGAUAACUUAGAGAAAUUUAAGCUAAUACCGAAUACUCCGAUUCCUUCGCAUGUUGGAUUCGGGAAAGUUCCGGCGGUAAGAGAUGGGGUCGCGGUCUAUUAGCUAGUUGGUGAGGUAACGGCUCACCAAGGCGACGAUAGAUAGCCGGGUUGAGAGACCGACCGGCCACAUUGGGACUGAGACACGGCCCAAACUCCUACGGGAGGCAGCAGUGGGGAAUUUUGCGCAAUGGGCGAAAGCCUGACGCAGCAACGCCGCGUGCGGGAUUGAAGGCCUUCGGGUCGUAAACCGCUUUCAGCAGGGAAGAUAAUGACGGUACCUGCAGAAGAAGCUCCGGCUAAAUACGUGCCAGCAGCCGCGAGUAACAC
Molecule: ribosomal RNA, 483 nt
Filed under: uncultured bacterium
Lineage: Bacteria
Description: bacterial SSU rRNA
Rfam family: Bacterial small subunit ribosomal RNA
Source: RNAcentral